GUUGAGCGCUGAAGGUUGGUACUUGUACCAACUGGAUGAGCAGCGAACGGGUGAGUAACGCGUGGGGAAUCUGCCUUUGAGCGGGGGACAACAUUUGGAAACGAAUGCUAAUACCGCAUAAAAACUUUAAACACAAGUUUUAAGUUUGAAAGAUGCAAUUGCAUCACUCAAAGAUGAUCCCGCGUUGUAUUAGCUAGUUGGUGAGGUAAAGGCUCACCAAGGCGAUGAUACAUAGCCGACCUGAGAGGGUGAUCGGCCACAUUGGGACUGAGACACGGCCCAAACUCCUACGGGAGGCAGCAGUAGGGAAUCUUCGGCAAUGGACGAAAGUCUGACCGAGCAACGCCGCGUGAGUGAAGAAGGUUUUCGGAUCGUAAAACUCUGUUGGUAGAGAAGAACGUUGGUGAGAGUGGAAAGCUCAUCAAGUGACGGUAACUACCCAGAAAGGGACGGCUAACUACGUGCCAGCAGCCGCGGUAAUACGUAGGUCCCGAGCGUUGUCCGGAUUUAUUGGGCGUAAAGCGAGCGCAGGUGGUUUAUUAAGUCUGGUGUAAAAGGCAUUGGCUCAACCAUUGUAUGCAUUGGAAACUGGUAGACUUGAGUGCAGGAGAGGAGAGUGGAAUUCCAUGUGUAGCGGUGAAAUGCGUAGAUAUAUGGAGGAACACCGGUGGGCGAAAGCGGCUCUCUGGCCUGUAACUGACACUGAGGCUCGAAAGCGUGGGGAGCAAACAGGAUUAGAUACCCUGGUAGUCCACGCCGUA
RNAcentral lists this ribosomal RNA (761 nucleotides) under Lactococcus lactis. RNAcentral describes it as "bacterial SSU rRNA". It matches the Rfam family "Bacterial small subunit ribosomal RNA", at positions 61 to 804 of the family's 1533-position model. The record is from RNAcentral. Lineage: Bacteria; Bacillati; Bacillota; Bacilli; Lactobacillales; Streptococcaceae.